RNAcentral lists this long non-coding RNA (473 nucleotides) under Cricetulus griseus (Chinese hamster). RNAcentral describes it as "lncRNA (ENSCGRG00015040768.1)". The record is from RNAcentral. Lineage: Eukaryota; Metazoa; Chordata; Mammalia; Rodentia; Cricetidae.
UUCCAUUCCUCCCUCUGUGGGGCUCUCCCAGAAUGCCGAGGAUGCUUCACAGCACAGCUAUGUUCCCUCCAAGUGAGCAAUCUGAAACAGGCAGAAGAUGCAGGUCACCCUGAUCAUGCAGAAAUGGUAGCCCAUUUGGUGGCAAAGGGCUAAGGUGGCCUCUGAUCCUUCUUUGGAGCAUGAAUUAUUUCACCGUUUUCAAGACAUGUGAUCUCAUUCAGAGGCCAGUGGGAAACCACCUCACUGUUGGAGAACUUUCCUGUACUUCAGUUUCCAUGUCUAUAAAAAGGUGGUGCUAAGACUUUUUCACAAAAUUAUCUUUGUGGUCUCCAUGUUUCUCUGUUUUUCCUCCUCUCUCUGUGUGUGUAUGGGGGGGGAUGUGUACAUGUGUGAAGAGAGGGAAUGUGUACAUGUGUGAAUAGAGGGAAUGUAUACAUGUGUGAAGAGAGGGAAUGUACAUGUAUGAAGACAGG